Long non-coding RNA from Daphnia pulicaria, 1166 nucleotides. RefSeq lists it as uncharacterized. Lineage: Eukaryota; Metazoa; Arthropoda; Branchiopoda; Diplostraca; Daphniidae. The record is from RefSeq and is a predicted model, not a curated record. The transcript is spliced from 3 exons.
CACGAUAAAAUUGCCAAAAUGUGGUCAACUCUGGUCGUGUUUCUUUAUAGAAUCGUUUAAUCCACAUUCUGAACUGUUUGGAAGGCCAGAUAGAGCCAGUCAUCAUAACUACAAGAUGUGUCUCAGUUUUGAUUGUGCUGGUAUUGACUUGUCAUCAGCAACAAUCUCAGCAUCAUCGGCUGGAUAAUCAGCAUCUUGUCUGAUUAAUUGGAGAAUCCACCGAUGUUGAUCGAGUUACGGAUCUCUUCUUCCCCCUCCUUUUAAAUCCCCUCUGUCCUCGUGUACUUCCAUGUGUGGGUGGGUGUAUUCACGAGUCUGAGGCCCUAUUACUUAUCCCUCCUGGUGGAUUCAACGUAUCACUGGAUGGAGCACUUUUGGAUGUCUGGCCGUAUUUCCCAGGCACAAAGGUAGGACAAAUAUUUCUCUAUCCUUUUUAUUAUUUGCCUUAUUUGGUGGCGUUGAUUGUCAGUCGUUAGAUAGUACAGAGCAGGAUUAUUCCUGAGCUAGGCUAGGCGGUUGACUGGAACUGUUUUCACUUGCCGUUUGAUGAGUUAUGACCAAGAGGGUUCUGCCGCCACACCGGCACCUCCUGGUUUAAUAAUAUGUUUUCCUUUUUAUUUUGAAAGAAAUGUUUUCAAUUCAAUUGGAUUUAUGAUUUUCUUUACAUGAAAAGAUUCUCCCCAUUUUUAAAAUGUAUGACUCAAAUGAGCGAUUUUUUCGGUAGCCAAGAACAAAGGAUGUAACAUAACAAUCGAUUUCCUGAAUUCAUUUCUAUUCCACAUAAUUUUUCUUCCUGUUGCCUCAGUUGUUUUUCGCUAUGUAUAGGCUAGAGCCGGUGUGCUGCUACCUGGGCAAACGUAAUCGAUUAUUAAUCACAGUGGUGGUGUCGGGUGGGGUGGGGGGAGAGAGAAAAACAAGAGAGACCCCACACUUCCGCCGCUUCUCUUCUGCAACAAUAACAACUUGAACGUUAUAAUGGGAACGCCAGCGAGAGUUGAUAUGGAAACCACAUCCCCCCCUGUCCUAUUAUGUAGCAAAGGAUCAGCGAUAUCAUCAUCAGCGCGAUAUAUAUCCACUAUACUAGACGGAGCUAGAGAGAGAGUAUCACGUGACACCCGCCGCACUCUUUCAUCAUUAUAUUAUUAUAAUUUGGAGGUUACACCACC